CAGCAGCCACGGGAAUACGUAGGGCGCAAGCGUUAUCCGGAAUUAUUGGGCGUAAAGAGCUCGUAGGCGGUUUGUCGCGUCUGCCGUGAAAGUCCGGGGCUCAACCCCGGAUCUGCGGUGGGUACGGGCAGACUAGAGUGAUGUAGGGGAGACUGGAAUUCCUGGUGUAGCGGUGAAAUGCGCAGAUAUCAGGAGGAACACCGAUGGCGAAGGCAGGUCUCUGGGCAUUAACUGACGCUGAGGAGCGAAAGCAUGGGGAGCGAACAGGAUUAGAUACCCGUGUAGUCCCUGUCUCUUAUAC
RNAcentral lists this ribosomal RNA (301 nucleotides) under uncultured bacterium. RNAcentral's name for it is "partial 16S ribosomal RNA". It matches the Rfam family "Bacterial small subunit ribosomal RNA", at positions 509 to 807 of the family's 1533-position model. The record is from RNAcentral.